CCUACGGGUGGCAGCAGUGGGGGAUAUUGCACAAUGGGGGAAACCCUGAUGCAGCGACGCCGCGUGGGCGAAGAAGUAUUUCGGUAUGUAAAGCCCUAUCAGCAGGGAAGAAGAAAUGACGGUACCUGAGUAAGAAGCACCAGCUAAAUACGUGCCAGCAGCCGCGGUAAUACGUAUGGUGGAAGCGUUAUCCGGAUUUACUGGGGUUAAAGGGAGCGCAGGGGGUCAGGCAAGCCUGAUGUGAAAGCCCGCGGCGCAACCGCGGGACUGCAUUGGGAACUACCGGGCUGGAGUGCCGGAGAGGUAGGCGGAAUUCCUAGUGUAGCGGUGAAAUGCGUAGAUAUUAGGAGGAACACCAGUGGCGAAGGCAGCCUACUGGACGGUGACUGACGCUGAGGCUCGAAAGCGUGGGGAGCAAACAGGAUUAGAUACCCUAGUAGUC
This 442-nucleotide ribosomal RNA is filed under the name uncultured bacterium. RNAcentral describes it as "partial 16S ribosomal RNA". It matches the Rfam family "Bacterial small subunit ribosomal RNA", at positions 338 to 795 of the family's 1533-position model. The record is from RNAcentral.